GCGUAGGAAUCUACCCCUGUAGCUGGGGAGUAACUCGGGGAAACGUACGAGCUAAUACCGAAUAUCCUCUACGGAGGAAAGCGGGCCUCUUCUUGAAAGCUCGCACUAUGGGAUGAGCCUACGUCGGAUUAGCUAGUUGGUGGGGUAAAGGCCUACCAAGGCGACGAUCCGUAGCUGGUCUGAGAGGAUGAUCAGCCACACCGGGACUGAGACACGGCCCAGACUCCUACGGGAGGCAGCAGUGGGGAAUAUUGGACAAUGGGCGCAAGCCUGAUCCAGCCAUGCCGCGUGUGUGAAGAA
This 300-nucleotide ribosomal RNA is filed under the name uncultured Gammaproteobacteria bacterium. RNAcentral's name for it is "bacterial SSU rRNA". It matches the Rfam family "Bacterial small subunit ribosomal RNA", at positions 115 to 412 of the family's 1533-position model. Lineage: Bacteria; Pseudomonadati; Pseudomonadota; Gammaproteobacteria. The record is from RNAcentral.